RNAcentral lists this long non-coding RNA (944 nucleotides) under Glycine max (soybean). RNAcentral's name for it is "long non-coding RNA (GMAX_LNC003212)". Lineage: Eukaryota; Viridiplantae; Streptophyta; Magnoliopsida; Fabales; Fabaceae. The record is from RNAcentral.
UUUGGGUGAGAAUUCUUCCUCAAAAUAUUUGCAAAAGAAUACUAUUUUGAACAUGGAGGAUAAAGAAUACUAUUUUGAACAUGGAGGAUAAGGGAGGGGCAUCUUAUGCUUGUUAAAGCAUGAACCCAUGUGUUAUCACAUGCCUUGUGCACCUUUAUCAUGUGUACCUGUUACGAGAAAGGAUACUGAGGGGGUACCAUUAGCAGGGGAGGUGCAGAAAGAAACAAGACCAAGGCCACUCAGGAUGAAGUCCACUCCAGCAUAUUUGAAGGAGUACGAACGAAGCCAUGCAGAGUGGGGCGCGUAGCUGAUGCGGUGAACGUGGAUUAGCCUCAGUGAUAUCAGAGGGAGAGGAGGGAAAGGGAAUCUUUCUAUUAAAACUUUUGUUAGUCGUUCAACUUCUGUUAGUUCUGUUAGAAGGUUAAAUUUUUUUCUUUUUCUCUAGUUUCUUUUAUUUCUUUUCUUGGUCCUUUUGCCACUUCGUUCCUGUAUCUUCAUCUAUCCCACCCACCAGCACAAGUAUAUCGUGUUGUCCCACCAAGAGCAAACGACGACGGCACCACCAUAACAAACAUGACAGCAAAAUCAAAGGAAAAUAAGUAGGACAACAGCAACACAAAACCCAACACCGCAAACACCACAACGACGAAGGAAACGACAAUGAGUCUCCCUCUCUCAGGUCUGAUAAUAAACUGGUUCCUUUCUCAAAUCAGAAACAAAAGAAAUCAUUUUCUCAUAUCUGCAGAAGAAGAAAAACACAAACAUCACCGCAGCACUGUUUAGGCCAGCAUCAAUGUUUUCGUUGUCGGAGAAGGGAUGAAAGAAAGAGAGCGUUAGCAGAGAUAGAGAGAGAAAGAUGGAGGCGUUGGUGGCGGGAGUGCGGUAGCAAUGGUGCGACUGUCGUGGUGGCUUGAAAAUAUGCGCGACAACGAGUGUGGAUCGAC